AGAUUGAACGCUGGCGGCAUGCCUUACACAUGCAAGUCGAACGGUAGAGUAGCAAUACUCGAGAGUGGCGAACGGGUGAGUAAUAUAUCGGAACGUGCCCAGUCGUGGGGGAUAACGUAGAGAAAUUUACGCUAAUACCGCAUACGAUCUAAGGAUGAAAGCGGGGGAUCGCAAGACCUCGCGCGAUUGGAUCGGCUGAUAUCAGAUUAGGUUGUUGGUGAGUAAAAGCUCACCAAGCCGACGAUCUGUAGCUGGUUUGAGAGAACGACCAGCCACACUGGGACUGAGACACGGCCCAGACUCCUACGGGAGCAGCAGUGGGAAUUUUGGACAAUGGGCGAAAGCCUGAUCCAGCAAUGCCGCGUGCAGGAAGAAGGCUCGGUUGUAACUAGCCUUGUACGAACGAAAAGGCUCGUUACUAAUAAAGAGGUCCGAUACGACGGUAACCGUAAGAAAGUAAGUACCACCGGUACUAACCUAACGUACGACCGACGCGACGCCGACGUAACGUACUA
This 515-nucleotide ribosomal RNA is filed under the name uncultured soil bacterium. RNAcentral describes it as "bacterial SSU rRNA". It matches the Rfam family "Bacterial small subunit ribosomal RNA", at positions 26 to 487 of the family's 1533-position model. The record is from RNAcentral.